ACCCUCCGGCCAGAGGAGUUUAUCUCCUACUUGCUUGCCGGAUUGGAUAGCGACUAUGAUCCUCUCGUUGAAGUUGUGUCUUCCCGCACCGAUCCGAUGCCCGUGCGUGAUCUCUAUUCCCAUAUGCUCAACACCGAGC
Non-coding RNA from Brachypodium distachyon (stiff brome), 139 nucleotides. NCBI's taxonomy places the organism in Eukaryota, Viridiplantae, Streptophyta, Magnoliopsida, Poales, Poaceae. The record is from Rfam.